Molecule: ribosomal RNA, 253 nt
Filed under: uncultured bacterium
Lineage: Bacteria
Description: partial 16S ribosomal RNA
Rfam family: Bacterial small subunit ribosomal RNA
Source: RNAcentral
UACGUAGGUGGCGAGCGUUAUCCGGAAUUACUGGGCGUAAAGCGCAAGCAGGCGGCUCGUUAAGUUUGACGUGAAAUCUCCUGGCUUAACUGGGAGGGGUCGUUGGAGACUGGCGAGCUUGAGGCGAUGAGAGGGCCAUGGAAUUCCCGGUGUAGUGGUGGAAUGCGUAGAGAUCGGGAGGAACACCAGAGGCGAAGGCGGUGUCCUGGCAUUGGCCUGACGCUUAUGUGCGAAAGCGUGGGGAGCGAACGGG